This 401-nucleotide ribosomal RNA is filed under the name uncultured bacterium. RNAcentral describes it as "bacterial LSU rRNA". It matches the Rfam family "Bacterial large subunit ribosomal RNA", at positions 625 to 1029 of the family's 2925-position model. The record is from RNAcentral.
GAGUUACUAUCAGCGGCAAGGUUAAGUCGUAAGACGAAGCCGUAGCGAAAGCGAGUCCGAAAUGGGCGUACAGUCGCUGGGUGUAGACCCGAAACCAGGUGAUCUAUCCAUGGCCAGGAUGAAGGUACCGUAACAGGUGCUGGAGGUCCGAACCGACUAGUGUUGCAAAACUAGCGGAUGAGCUGUGGAUAGGGGUGAAAGGCUAAACAAACCUGGAGAUAGCUGGUUCUCUCCGAAAACUAUUUAGGUAGUGCCUCAAGUAUUACCGACGGGGGUAGAGCACUGUUAUGGCUAGGGGGUCAUGGCGACUUACCAAACCAUUGCAAACUCCGAAUACCGUUGAGUACAGCUUGGGAGACAGUGCACCGGGUGCUAACGUCCGGACACAAGAGGAACAACCA